GUUCGGCGGCCGAAACUGCCCUCCAGAGACGAAAGUCCUCUUUCGGAGGUAGGCUUCGGCAGCCGAAGGCUGCCUCCAUAAGCGGGUUCGGCGGCCGAAAGUCCAUUCGGCGGCCGAACCUGAGUUUCUCCAAAGUGGCAGAAACUCAACUCCAACAUGCACAAACGCCUCCCAAACCUUUCAAACAUGCAUAAACCUGAUCUACAACAUGCAUACUCAAGCAUACAAGCUCCUAGGGGCUUCAAACUAUCUUAAACCCCAACUACAACACAUCAAGCAACCUCAAAUAUCAUACAUUGCU
RNAcentral lists this long non-coding RNA (301 nucleotides) under Manihot esculenta (cassava). Its description in RNAcentral is "long non-coding RNA (MESC_LNC008236)". The record is from RNAcentral. Lineage: Eukaryota; Viridiplantae; Streptophyta; Magnoliopsida; Malpighiales; Euphorbiaceae.